UGGAUGAUGUGGUUAAUUCGAUGCAACGCGAAAACCUUACCCACCUUUGACAUGUACGGAACCCUUUAGAGAUAGAGGGGUGCUCGAAAGAGAGCCGUAACACAGGUGCUGCAUGGCUGUCGUCAGCUCGUGUCGUGAGAUGUUGGGUUAAGUCCCGCAACGAGCGCAACCCUUGUCAUUAGUUGCUACAUUCAGUUGGGCACUCUAAUGAGACUGCCGGUGACAAGCCGGAGGAAGGUGGGGAUGACGUCAAGUCCUCAUGGCCCUUAUAGGUGGGGCUACACACGUCAUACAAUGGCUGGUACAAAGGGUUGCCAACCCGCGAGGGGGAGCCAAUCCCAUAAAGCCAGUCGUAGUCCGGAUCGUAGUCUGCAACUCGACUACGUGAAGUCGGAAUCGCUAGUAAUCGUGGAUCAGAAUGUCACGGUGAAUACGUUCCCGGGUCUU
RNAcentral lists this ribosomal RNA (447 nucleotides) under uncultured Rhodoferax sp. RNAcentral describes it as "bacterial SSU rRNA". It matches the Rfam family "Bacterial small subunit ribosomal RNA", at positions 933 to 1382 of the family's 1533-position model. The record is from RNAcentral. Lineage: Bacteria; Pseudomonadati; Pseudomonadota; Betaproteobacteria; Burkholderiales; Comamonadaceae.